CCGUGUCCCCCCCGUGUCCCCCCCAGGGGAGAAGGUGAUGUCGGACGACGAGUUCACCCAGGAUUUGUUCCGGCUGCUGCAGCUGCUCUGCGAGGGCCACAACAACGACUUCCAGAACUACCUGAGGACGCAGACGGGGAACACGACCACCAUCAACAUCAUCAUCUGCACCGUCGACUACCUGCUGAGACUGCAGGAGUCCCUCAGUGACUUCUACUGGUACUACU
Neopelma chrysocephalum (saffron-crested tyrant-manakin) is the source of this 227-nucleotide long non-coding RNA. RefSeq lists it as uncharacterized. The record is from RefSeq and is a predicted model, not a curated record. Lineage: Eukaryota; Metazoa; Chordata; Aves; Passeriformes; Pipridae. The transcript has 3 exons.